GAAAAAGUGUGUGAUGUUUUUUGUUUUUUGCACCAUUCUGUGUAAACCCUAGAGAGUGUUGUAUGUGAAAAUCCCAGGAGAUGAUGCAUGAUUUUAUGCACUGCACUGCUGCCACAUGAUUGGCUGAUUAGAUAACUGUAUGAAUGAGCAGGUGUACAAGUGUUCCUAUUAAAGUGGACAGUGAGCGCUAUUGAUUGUGGUGAUUUUGUUUUAUUAAUCAGUUAUAAGUUUAAUCAAUAUACCAUCAUACACUGCUGUGUUUUAAAUCAUGUAUUAGCCAGAACAUAUUCAGAAGAGGAACCUUGAUAACCCUCAUGUUGUUCAUGUUGUACAGGCGUGUUUGGGGAAGAUGCCAGCCUCUGAGGCAAUCUUACCCACAGGCUUUGUGUAGCUUUGUGUCAAGUCAAGUGGGUUUUUAUUGACAGGAGUCUCUGUAGCCAGUCUCCAUCAGAAGGAAAUGUGGUUUCUCCAGGACCAUGGUGCAACGCAGUACAGUAUGCAAGACCACAUGAAGUAAUGCCAUGCAGGAUGUCCCGAACCAUAUACAGUAUAAUCUUGCUACCUUCAGAGGUUUUCUUCAUAUGCUUCAGUGUGGUGAGGAAAUCCUCUCUAGCAUCCUGAAAAAAGUCACUGACAUUUCUUCUAUAAACCAGGAACCCGCUUAAUACCUGAAACUGCUUGAGAAAAGACACGGAGAAACGGUUCUGUAAAAUGGCUGACAUUCUAUAAUAAUGUACAUUUUGCGUGUGUAAGAGAAAGAGAGAGAGAAGAGUGAGAGAAGAGAGAGAGAGGUGCUUUGAAGUAGACAGGAAAUUUGAUUUUGCUUUGCUGGUCAUGUGGUUUUGAACUUUAAUAGCAAGCUGAGAACAAGAGUUACCAUUUGUUCCAAAAGCUCGAGAUGGAAUUGUACCUGUUCUUCCUUCUGCUGUCUUACGCAAAUAUAUAUAUUGUUUCUACUGAUUUGUCUGAUAAAACUCACCCCAAAUAUUGACCAUCAGAGAGAAAGGCAGCAUUUCACUGAAGUGCGUCUUCACCGGUCAUGAGGAGGUGGCCUGGUAUCGUCUGAGUUCCUACACGUUAACACUUCUGAUCUCAGCACAGAAAAGUCACGCUGAAAAUAGCCUCCCUGUUUAUUACAACAAAUAUGACAGUCGUUUUGUACUGAGGCCAAACAGCGACAUUACCACAGCUGAAUUCACCAUCAUGAACCUCACGAAGGAGGAUCUGGGGGUUUAUUUCUGCGGAAUUACAGCCAAGCCGGCACAGAUGCAUUUUGGUCGUGCUACCAUACUGCAGUUUGAAGAUAAAAAGGAAGAGACAACGACUGAAACCUCCUCUACCCAAAAACCACCAGGAGAAGAAGUGGAGAAUAAGGAUAAAGCGAGUGUAUGUGAGAAAGUGUUGAUGUUUGGUGGUGUGGGCGUGGCCGCUCUGCUCCUCAUCCUCACUACAGUAGUUGCAUGUACUGUGAUCAGACCCACAAAAAAAAUUCUGAAAAGAAUUGCGAGCUAAAGGUUUUUGGUUUUGCUAAUAGAUUAAGAGACGAGUUUUAAGAUCAAUCAGGAUUAACAAUUGCAAAGGCUAACUUUUUUUUUAAUUAACUCUGUAAUGAGAUAGUUUGAUAUUCUUUUUUUCAUUGUUCAGUUAAGUUUAUCUUCACCACUAGAGGUCUCUGUCUUUUCACUACUGACUCUUAAUGCUCAUUCCACCUGUUCCAGGUUUCUGUUUCUCAUGUUUUUGUUCAAGAAUCAGAUAUAUAUAUUAUUUUACUGUCUCUACUUCACAAAUAAAACAGACUGAAAAUAG
Long non-coding RNA from Ictalurus furcatus (blue catfish), 1806 nucleotides. RefSeq lists it as uncharacterized. Lineage: Eukaryota; Metazoa; Chordata; Actinopteri; Siluriformes; Ictaluridae. The transcript has 4 exons. The record is from RefSeq and is a predicted model, not a curated record.